Molecule: ribosomal RNA, 458 nt
Filed under: uncultured bacterium
Lineage: Bacteria
Description: partial 16S ribosomal RNA
Rfam family: Bacterial small subunit ribosomal RNA
Source: RNAcentral
CCUACGGGGGGCAGCAGUGAGGAAUAUUGGUCAAUGGGCGAGAGCCUGAACCAGCCAAGUCGCGUGAGGGAGUACUGCCCUAUGGGUUGUAAACCUCUUUUGUCGGGGAGCAAAAGCCGGACGUGUCCGGCUGUGAGAGUUCCCGAAGAAAAAGCAUCGGCGAACUCCGUGCCAGCAGACGCGGUAAUACGGAGGAUGCGAGCGUUAUCCGGAUUUAUUGGGUUUAAAGGGUGCGCAGGCGGAUUUUUAAGUCAGCGGUAAAAUCGUGGGGCUCAACCCCAUCCAGCCGUUGAAACUGCGUGGCUAGAGUGCAGGAGGGGCAGGCGGAAUUCCUGGUGUAGCGGUGAAAUGCGUAGAUAUCAGGAGGAACACCGGUGGCGAAGGCGGCCUGCUGGACUGCAACUGACGUUGAGGCCCGAAAGCGUGGGGAGCAAACAGGAUUAGAUACCCUAGUAGUC